RNAcentral lists this ribosomal RNA (405 nucleotides) under uncultured bacterium. RNAcentral's name for it is "partial 16S ribosomal RNA". It matches the Rfam family "Bacterial small subunit ribosomal RNA", at positions 28 to 526 of the family's 1533-position model. The record is from RNAcentral.
GAUGAACGCUGGCGGCGUGCCUAAUACAUGCAAGUCGAGCGAAGCGGGGACGGGUGAGUAACACGUGGAUAACCUCCUAUAAGACUGGGAUAACUUCGGGAAACCGGAGCUAAACCGGCUCAUUAUAGAUGGAUCCGCGUUGCAUUAGCUAGUGGGUAAGGUAACGGCUUACAAAGGCAACGAUGCAUAUCUGACCUGAGAGGGGGAGCGGCCACACUGGAACGGAUACACGGGCCAGACUCCUACGGGAGGCAGCAGUAGGUAAUCUUCCGCAAUGGGCGAAAGCCUGACGGAGCAACGCCGCGUGAGUGAUGAAGGUCUUCGGAUCGUAAAACUCUGUUAUUAGGGAAGCGGUACCUAAUCAGAAAGCCACGGCUAACUCCGUGCCAGCAGCCGCGGUAAUUC